Molecule: ribosomal RNA, 318 nt
Filed under: uncultured Ichthyosporea
Lineage: Eukaryota; Ichthyosporea
Description: bacterial SSU rRNA
Rfam family: Eukaryotic small subunit ribosomal RNA
Source: RNAcentral
AAAGAUUAAGCCAUGCAUGUCUAAGUAUAAACGGAUUAUACAUAGUGAAACUGCGAAUGGCUCAUUAAAUCAGUUAUAGUUUAUUUGAUAAUACCUUACUACUUGGAUAACCGUAGUAAUUCUAGAGCUAAUACAUGCAAUGAAACCCGACUUCUGGAAGGGUUGUAUUUAUUAGAUAAAAAACCAAUGCAGGGGCAACCCUGGUUACUUGGUGAUUCAUAAUAACUAAACGAAUCGUACGGCCUAGCGCCAACGACGAUUCAUUCAAGUUUCUGCCCUAUCAACUUUCGAUGGUAAGGUAUUGGCUUACCAUGGUUA